This 321-nucleotide long non-coding RNA is filed under the name Carica papaya (papaya). RNAcentral describes it as "long non-coding RNA (CPAP_LNC000576)". The record is from RNAcentral. Lineage: Eukaryota; Viridiplantae; Streptophyta; Magnoliopsida; Brassicales; Caricaceae.
AGGAUGCAUGAUGUGUUUUACGUUUUGAUGCUACGGAAGUAUCAGCCUGACCUGACUACAUUAUAUAACAUGAGAUCCUCCCGCUGGAGAGAGACUUGACGUAUGAGAAAAAGACAAUUUGCAUCCUCGACCAGCAAGACAGAAAGUUGAGGAGUCAGAUAAUACCGAUGGUGAAAGUGAUGUGGCAACACCACUCUAAUGAGGAGGCAACCUGAGAGCGAGAGGACAAGAUGAGGAUUAACUACCCGCAAUUAUUUAAGGUAAUGUACCAAAUUUGAGGGACCAAAUUAUUUUUUGGGCGGAGGGAUAGAGUAAUAGCUU